UUUCCGUAGGUGAACCUGCGGAAGGAUCAUUAUUGUAUAACCGAGGUGCGAUGGCUGUCGCUGACCCGAAAGGUCGUGCACGCCCGAGUGCCCUCACACACAUCCAUCUCACCCCUAUGUGCACCACCGCGUGGGUCCCCCUUUGGCUUGUUCGGAGGGGGGCUUACGCUUUCACACAAACUUUGUAUGCAGUGUAGAAUGUAUUUUUUGUUUUUGCGAUCACGCAAUCAAUACAACUUUUAACAACGGAUCUCUUGGCUCUC
This 263-nucleotide unclassified non-coding RNA is filed under the name plant metagenome. RNAcentral describes it as "partial contains small subunit ribosomal RNA, internal transcribed spacer 1, and 5.8S ribosomal RNA". The record is from RNAcentral.